This 191-nucleotide microRNA precursor is filed under the name Oryza sativa Indica Group (long-grained rice). Its description in RNAcentral is "MIR812 microRNA precursor family". It matches the Rfam family "MIR812 microRNA precursor family". Lineage: Eukaryota; Viridiplantae; Streptophyta; Magnoliopsida; Poales; Poaceae. The record is from Rfam by way of RNAcentral.
AAAAAAACAAACUCUGGGUUUCCGUGUCCAACUUUGACUGUUCGUCUUAUAUGUAAUUUUUUUAUAAUUUAUAUUUUCAUUAUUGUUAGAUGAUAAAAUAUGAUUAAUAUUUUAUGCGUGACUUGUCUUUUUAAUUUUUUUUCAUAAUUUUUUUAAAUAAGACGAAUGGUCAAACGUUGAACACGAAAACU